This 497-nucleotide ribosomal RNA is filed under the name uncultured bacterium. RNAcentral describes it as "partial 16S ribosomal RNA". It matches the Rfam family "Bacterial small subunit ribosomal RNA", at positions 28 to 507 of the family's 1533-position model. The record is from RNAcentral.
GACGAACGCUGGCGGCGUGCCUAAUACAUGCAAGUUGAGCGGUGAAGGUUGGUACUUGUACCGACUGGAUGAGCAGCGAACGGGUGAGUAACGCGUGGGGAAUCUGCCUUUGAGCGGGGGACAACUUCUGGAAACGAAUGCUAAUACCGCAUAAAAACUUUAAACACUAGUUCUAAGUGUGAAAGAUGCAAUUGCAUGACUCAAAGAGGAUCCCGCAUUGUUUUAGAUAGUUGGUGAGGUAAAGGGCCACCAAGGCGAGGAGACAUAGCCGACCUGAGAGGCUGGUCGGACACAGUGGGACCGAGAGAUGGACCAAACUCCUACGGGAGGCAGCAGUAGGGAUUCUUCGGCAAUAGACGAGAGUCGGACCGAGCAACGCCGCGGUAGAGAAGAAGGAUUUCGGCUCGGAAAAAUCUGUUGGUAGGGAAGAACGUUAGUGAGAGUGGAAAGCUCAUCAAGUGACGGUAACUACACAGAAAGGGACGGCUAACUACGUG